This 436-nucleotide ribosomal RNA is filed under the name uncultured bacterium. Its description in RNAcentral is "partial 16S ribosomal RNA". It matches the Rfam family "Bacterial small subunit ribosomal RNA", at positions 29 to 507 of the family's 1533-position model. The record is from RNAcentral.
AGCGAACGCUGGCGGCAGGCUUAACACAUGCAAGUCGAGCGGGCAUCCUUGUGGUGUCAGCGGCAGACGGGUGAGUAACGCGUGGGAACGUGCCCUUCGGUUCGGAAUAACUCAGGGAAACUUGAGCUAAUACCGGAUACGCCCUUUUGGGGAAAGGUUUACUGCCGAAGGAUCGGCCCGCGUCUGAUUAGCCAGUUGGUGAGGUUAUGGCUCACCAAGGCGACGAUCAGUAGCUGGUCUGAGAGGAUGAUCAGCCACACUGGGACUGAGACACGGCCCAGACACCUACGGGAGGCAGCAGUGGGGAAUAUUGGACAAGGGGGGCAACCCUGAUCCAGCCAUGCCGGGUGAGUGAUGACGGCCUUAGGGUUGUAAAGCCCUUUUCUCCGGGACGAUAAUGACGGUACCGGAGGAAUAAGCCCCGGCUAACUUCGUG